ACGUCGCUGGCGGCAGGCUUACACAUGCAGUCGAGCGGUAACAGGGGUAGCUUGCUUCCCGCUGACGAGCGGCGGACGGGUGAGUAAUGCUUAGGAAUCUGCCCAGUAGUGGGGGAUAGCCCGGGGAAACCCGGAUUAAUACCGCAUACGUCCUACGGGAGAAAGCAGGGGAUCUUCGGACCUUGCGCUAUUGGAUGAGCCUAAGUCGGAUUAGCUAGUUGGUGGGGUAAAGGCCUACCAAGGCGACGAUCCGUAGCUGGUCUGAGAGGAUGAUCAGCCACAUCGGGACUGAGACACGGCCCGAACUCCUACGGGAGGCAGCAGUGGGGAAUAUUGGACAAUGGGGGCAACCCUGAUCCAGCCAUGCCGCGUGUGUGAAGAAGGCUUUCGGGUUGUAAAGCACUUUCAGUAGGGAGGAAAACCUUAUGGCUAAUACCCAUGAGGCUUGACGUUACCUACAGAAGAAGCACCGGCUAACUCCGUGCCAGCAGCCGCGGUAAUACGGAGGGUGCAAGCGUUAAUCGGAAUUACUGGGCGUAAAGCGCGCGUAGGUGGUUUGGUAAGCGAGAUGUGAAAGCCCCGGGCUUAACCUGGGAACGGCAUUUCGAACUGUCAGACUAGAGUGUGGUAGAGGGUAGUGAAUUUCCUGUGUAGCGGUGAAAUGCGUAAUAUAGGAAAGAACACCAGUGGCGAGGCGGCUACCUGGACCAACACUGACACUGAGUGCGAAAGCGUGGGAGCAACAAGAAU
This 750-nucleotide ribosomal RNA is filed under the name Marinobacter sp. VP10-M11ppk. Its description in RNAcentral is "bacterial SSU rRNA". It matches the Rfam family "Bacterial small subunit ribosomal RNA", at positions 30 to 778 of the family's 1533-position model. Lineage: Bacteria; Pseudomonadati; Pseudomonadota; Gammaproteobacteria; Pseudomonadales; Marinobacteraceae. The record is from RNAcentral.